GAUCACACAACUGUACUCCAGGCUGGGAAACAGAGCAAGACUCUGUCUCAAUAAAUAAACAGUCCCCCUAGGUCCAUGCGGGUUACAUAGUGACACCCCAAACAGUGACAGAAUUGGGCGCUCCACAAGUGGCUUCCGAACAUGGGGACUUCAAGGAUGUGAACAAAGAAGUGUACAGCUAUUCUUAUAAAUGUUGAGGAGAGAAGAUGGUGAGAAAGGAAUGCAGAAAUGACAGACUGACCAAGGCAUUUCCUUCCAUGCUGACAGCAGUCACUAGGGGUUGCUCUCAGGUACUGUUUUGUGGAGAUGUCCCCACAUUAAGCGAUGCUUUCUUCUAUGACAAUUUUUAAAGCCUAUGCAUUACUUUGUUCCAUGUACAUCACAGGGAAGCUCAGUUUUAGCCCAGAAUUUAACUUGGAGACCCAGCUGUCUCCCUCAAGCCCCAAGGACUGGUUGUUCUGCUUACUGAGUGAGUCUGGUGUUUGCCUCAUCCUAAUGGCUCCAACAGAAAGACUGAGAUACCCACCUGUGGACACAGACAACCACCUUACAGACACAGAAAAGACCAUGAGACUGGGCUCACAUGAAAGGAAACAUCCACACUGCGUUUUCUUAACAGGGUUAUGUCAUUUUUUUUUUUUUUUUUCAU
Molecule: long non-coding RNA, 649 nt
Organism: Piliocolobus tephrosceles (Ugandan red Colobus)
Lineage: Eukaryota; Metazoa; Chordata; Mammalia; Primates; Cercopithecidae
Exons: 3
Source: RefSeq, a predicted model, not a curated record